Molecule: ribosomal RNA, 200 nt
Filed under: uncultured bacterium
Lineage: Bacteria
Description: partial 16S ribosomal RNA
Rfam family: Bacterial small subunit ribosomal RNA
Source: RNAcentral
UACGAAGGGGGCUAGCGUUGCUCGGAAUCACUGGGCGUAAAGCGCACGUAGGCGGAUUGCUAAGUCAGGGGGUGAAAUCCUGGAGCUCAACUCCAGAACUGCCUUUGAUACUGGCGAUCUCGAGUCCGGGAGAGGUGAGUGGAACUGCGAGUGUAGAGGUGAAAUUCGUAGAUAUUCGCAAGAACACCAGUGGCGAAGGC